UACGUAGGGGGCAAGCGUUGUCCGGAUUUAUUGGGCGUAAAGAGCUCGUAGGCGGUUUGUCGCGUCGGAUGUGAAAUCCCAGGGCUUAACCCUGGGCCUGCAUUCGAUACGGGCAGACUAGAGUUCGGUAGGGGAGACUGGAAUUCCUGGUGUAGCGGUGAAAUGCGCAGAUAUCAGGAGGAACACCGGUGGCGAAGGCGGGUCUCUGGGCCGAUACUGACGCUGAGGAGCGAAAGCGUGGGGAGCGAACAGG
RNAcentral lists this ribosomal RNA (253 nucleotides) under uncultured bacterium. RNAcentral's name for it is "partial 16S ribosomal RNA". It matches the Rfam family "Bacterial small subunit ribosomal RNA", at positions 524 to 776 of the family's 1533-position model. The record is from RNAcentral.